This 253-nucleotide ribosomal RNA is filed under the name uncultured bacterium. Its description in RNAcentral is "partial 16S ribosomal RNA". It matches the Rfam family "Bacterial small subunit ribosomal RNA", at positions 524 to 776 of the family's 1533-position model. The record is from RNAcentral.
UACAGAGGUGGCAAGCGUUGUUCGGAAUUACUGGGCGUAAAGGGCGCGUAGGCGGUUCGAUAAGUCCCGUGUGAAAUCCCUCGGCUCAACUGAGGAACUGCACGGGAAACUGACGGGCUUGAGUUCGGGAGAGGGAAGCGGAAUUCCGGGUGUAGCGGUGAAAUGCUUAGAUAUGACAUAGAACACCCAUUGCGAAGGCAGCUUACUACACGAUCAUUGACGCUGAGGCACGAAAGCGUGGGGAGCAAACAGG